Molecule: ribosomal RNA, 439 nt
Filed under: uncultured bacterium
Lineage: Bacteria
Description: partial 16S ribosomal RNA
Rfam family: Bacterial small subunit ribosomal RNA
Source: RNAcentral
AUACGGGGGGCUGCAGCGGGGAAUAUUGCACAAUGGAGGAAACUCUGAUGCAGCAACGCCGCGUGGAGGAUGACACUUUUCGGAGCGUAAACUCCUUUUAUAUAGGAAGAUAAUGACGGUACUAUAUGAAUAAGCACCGGCUAACUCCGUGCCAGCAGCCGCGGUAAUACGGAGGGUGCAAGCGUUACUCGGAAUCACUGGGCGUAAAGAGCGUGUAGGCGGGUUAAUAAGUCAGAAGUGAAAUCCUAUGGCUCAACCAUAGAACUGCUUUUGAAACUGUUAACCUAGAGUGUGGGAGAGGUAGAUGGAAUUUCUGGUGUAGGGGUAAAAUCCGUAGAGAUCAGAAGGAAUACCGAUUGCGAAGGCGAUCUACUGGAACAUAACUGACGCUGAGACGCGAAAGCGUGGGGAGCAAACAGGAUUAGAUACCCGCGUAGUC